AACUGUUUCUCUGCUGGGGCUGUGCAAUGCUGUAAUCUACUAUUCUGUCUCAAGUUAUUUCGAAAGGCUAGAAGUCUUCCCAUGUUUUUGAGAUCACAAAAGUUAUUUUUUGCCAGAGAAAGAGAUAUUUGACUACAAUAGAUCAUCUUCUAAUAUCAAAGGAUAUGAUCAGUUUCAGUUUUAAUCCCACACGAUUUUUUCAUGAUAUAAUGUUAUGUACGUGGUCAAUUUAAAUGGCAGUCUGUUAAAUUGCAGCGGAAUAGCGGCUUUUUAAAUACUUGGGUUGACGUCACUAAACUUUUCAAGAAGCUGUGCGCGCUGCCCGGGUUUGUGAAGAGAGACGGAACAGAGCCGUGCAUGAACGAGAGAGCGCUGGGCGACAAGGAGACCUUACAAAACAAGGAAUCUUUCACUUCAUUCGGAGAGAGGGACCUGAUGAGUCAGAGGGAGGAUAGAUGAGUGACGGACACUACUAGUGGGUUCCAGGCACACAAAUCCAAAUCAAGAAGGCUCCUGAUCCACUGCAGAGCCCCGGUCUCAGUACCACCAUAGAAGCUACCGCAGUAUGACGGGCUUUCAACAGGAGAACGGUAACAGCUCACUGUAUUCAUUG
This is a long non-coding RNA of Salvelinus sp. IW2-2015, 613 nucleotides long. RefSeq lists it as uncharacterized. The record is from RefSeq and is a predicted model, not a curated record. Lineage: Eukaryota; Metazoa; Chordata; Actinopteri; Salmoniformes; Salmonidae.